GGAGGAAGAAGAAGAGGAUGUUGGAGAUCUGUUUAACACCAGAGAGAGAUGUGACGAUCGUGGAUACACUGGGGAGCCUCAACAACAACAUGAUGCUGACAAGGCAGAGAAGAGUCUCUCCAGAUCAGAACUCCUCAAGAAACACCAAUACCCACAUGGAAGAAAUAUUACCACUGCUGCUCUGACUGUGGUAAAAUAUUCAACUAUUCAUUCAAACUUAAAAUACAUCAAAGACAUCACACAAGAGAGAAACCAUAUGGCUGUGCUCAAUGUGGGAAGAGUUUUGUUAAAUCUAGCUAUCUAACUAUACACCAGAGAACACACACAGGAGUGAAACCAUAUAGCUGUAAUCAGUGUGGGAAGAGUUUUUCUACAAGCUGACACACACAGGGGAAGAGAUACUCUGAUAAAGAUCUCUGAUUCAACAUAAAAUACAUGAAGGAGUUGUUUCAUGAUAUUAAUGAAAUAAUGUCACAAUGUAGAAUGUUUUAACAUUGUAGUAGGAAUAUAUUAAUGAUGUCACAAUGUAGAAAGUUUAAACAUUGUAGUAGGAGUAUGUUAAUGAUGUCACAAUGUAGAAUGUUUAAACAUUGUAGUAGGAGUAUUUUAAUGAUGUCACAAUGUAGAAGCCUAAACGUUUGUCCCCUGUUCUAUUGAUUUCAGCAUGAUAUGAUAUUAGCCUCAGGGUGAAAAUCCAGGCUCUGAAUUGAAAGAGUACUAUUUAUAUGAUUUAACAAAAAGUGACUAACAAAAAAAGAGUUGUUACACUUACCACGUUGGUGACUCACUUGAAUCAAAAUGCAACACUUCAAAAUGUAGCGAUCUGUUUUCUACAAGUUGUCCUCUAACCAGGGAUGUACACAUUAUUCCCAGAUUCCAUGUGGUUUUUGAGUUGUUAGUUUUAACAGGACGUGCAACCUCCUCUCGGCACAAUUGAUUUCAACAUGAUAUCAAUGAGUGAUGACAAAUAAGUGUUGCGUUCCUUUGUUUAACGACACCUACAUUUAAAUGCAUCACUCCAAAAUGUAGCUGACGGUCUUCUGCAGCUUGUCCUCUAACCAGUGAGGUAAAAGAUAUCUCCCAUUUCCAUGUGUUUGUUUUAGUCCCAACAGGACGAACAACCUGAUUUACCCCCUAAUUGAUAUCAGUGAUUUAUUGCUACUUGUCAAAACAACAGCGUUUCUGGCGCUUGUGCAGUUUAUGAGGUGCUUGUUUAAGUUAUAUGAUUAUUGUGGCAGAUGUUUGUGUAUAUAAUACAUUUUACCCCAAACUGUUUCUGCAUUUGGACUAUUGAUUUGGACACGUUUAAACUGUGACUUUGGG
Molecule: long non-coding RNA, 1323 nt
Filed under: Oncorhynchus kisutch (coho salmon)
Lineage: Eukaryota; Metazoa; Chordata; Actinopteri; Salmoniformes; Salmonidae
Description: lncRNA (ENSOKIG00005020294.1)
Source: RNAcentral